RNAcentral lists this ribosomal RNA (253 nucleotides) under uncultured bacterium. RNAcentral's name for it is "partial 16S ribosomal RNA". It matches the Rfam family "Bacterial small subunit ribosomal RNA", at positions 524 to 776 of the family's 1533-position model. The record is from RNAcentral.
UACGAAGGGGGCUAGCGUUGCUCGGAAUCACUGGGCGUAAAGCGCACGUAGGCGGAUUGUUAAGUCAGGGGUGAAAUCCUGGAGCUCAACUCCAGAACUGCCUUUGAUACUGGCGAUCUUGAGUUCGGGAGAGGUGAGUGGAACUGCGAGUGUAGAGGUGAAAUUCGUAGAUAUUCGCAAGAACACCAGUGGCGAAGGCGGCUCACUGGCCCGAUACUGACGCUGAGGCGCGAAAGCUAGGGGAGCAAACAGG